RNAcentral lists this long non-coding RNA (248 nucleotides) under Hordeum vulgare. RNAcentral describes it as "long non-coding RNA (HVUL_LNC015135)". The record is from RNAcentral. Lineage: Eukaryota; Viridiplantae; Streptophyta; Magnoliopsida; Poales; Poaceae.
UCCCGAUGUUGGAGGGGCUUGGUGGGGUGGGGCGGGAGGGGAACGAGACCGCCACACUGCCACGUGCCGCCACCUUCCCCGUGGGCGCCGUGCGGGUUUGCCGGUCGGCCUCUGGCGGCGGUGCUGCGGGGAGUUGUGAUGGAGGUGGGAACCUGGGCGGCGGGGCGGCGGCGUGGGCGAUCGUGAGCGUCGUGGGUGAGGCGUUGAGACGGUGGGAGGACGUGGGGGAAGACUUUUAGCCAUAGAGG